AUUGAACGCUGGCGGCAGGCCUAACACAUGCAAGUCGAACGGUAACAGGAAGCAGCUUGCUGCUUCGCUGACGAGUGGCGGACGGGUGAGUCAUGUCUGGGAAACUGCCUGAUGGAGGGGGAUAACUACUGGAAACGGUAGCUAAUACCGCAUAACGUCGCAAGAACAAAGAGGGGGACCUUAGGGCCUCUUGCCAUCGGAUGUGCCCAGAUGGGAUUAGCUAGGAGGUGGGGUAACGGCUCACCUAGGCGACGAUCCAUAGCUGGUCUGAGAGGAUGACCAGCCACACUGGAACUGAGACACGGUCCAGACUCCUACGGGAGGCAGCAGUGGGGAAUAUUGCACAAUGGGCGCAAGCCUGAUGCAGCCAUGCCGCGUGUAUGAAGAAGGCCUUCGGGUUGUAAAGUACUUUCAGCGGGUAGGAAGGGAGUAAAGUUAAUACCUUUGCUCAUUGACGUUACCCGCAGAAGAAGCGCCGGCUAACUCCGUG
This 490-nucleotide ribosomal RNA is filed under the name uncultured bacterium. RNAcentral's name for it is "partial 16S ribosomal RNA". It matches the Rfam family "Bacterial small subunit ribosomal RNA", at positions 30 to 507 of the family's 1533-position model. The record is from RNAcentral.